This 542-nucleotide ribosomal RNA is filed under the name Pseudomonas sp. LBBMA LU5B. Its description in RNAcentral is "bacterial SSU rRNA". It matches the Rfam family "Bacterial small subunit ribosomal RNA", at positions 10 to 518 of the family's 1533-position model. The record is from RNAcentral. Lineage: Bacteria; Pseudomonadati; Pseudomonadota; Gammaproteobacteria; Pseudomonadales; Pseudomonadaceae.
AGUUGAUCCUGGCUCAGAUUGAACGCUUGCCGCAGGCCUAAACACAUGUUAGUCGAGCGGAUGAUGNAGGAGCUCNGCUCCUUGUAUUUAGCGGCGGACGGGUGAGUAAUGCCUAGGAAAUCUGCCUGGUAGUGGGGGAUAACGUCCGGGAAACGGGCGCUAAUACCGCAUACGUCCUACGGGAGAAAGCAGGGGACCUUCGGGCCUUGCGCUAUCAGAUGAGCCUAGGUCGGAUUAGCUAGUUGGUGAGGUAAUGGCUCACCAAGGCGACGAUCCGUAACUGGUCUGAGAGGAUGAUCAGUCACACUGGAACUGAGACACGGUCCAGACUCCUACGGGAGGCAGCCAGUGGGGAAUAUUUGGAACCAAUGGGCGAAAGCCUUGAUUCCCAGGCCAUUGCCCGGCCGUUGUUGUUGAAGAAGGGUCCUUCCGGAUUGUUAAGNCACUUUAAGUUGGGAAGAAGGGNCAUUAAGGUUAAUUAACUUGGUUGGUUUGGACGUUCCCGACGGAAUUAGCACGGGUUAAUUUCGUGCCAGCAGCGU